GUGUGUGAAGAAGGCCUUCGGGUUGUAAAGCACUUUCAGUCGUGAGGAAGGUGGUGUAGUUAAUAGCUGCAUUACUUGACGUUAGCGACAGAAGAAGCACCGGCUAACUCCGUGCCAGCAGCCGCGGUAAUACGGAGGGUGCGAGCGUUAAUCGGAAUUACUGGGCGUAAAGCGCAUGCAGGUGGUUUGUUAAGUCAGAUGUGAAAGCCCGGGGCUCAACCUCGGAAUAGCAUUUGAAACUGGCAGACUAGAGUACUGUAGAGGGGGGUAGAAUUUCAGGUGUAGCGGUGAAAUGCGUAGAGAUCUGAAGGAAUACCGGUGGCGAAGGCGGCCCCCUGGACAGAUACUGACACUCAGAUGCGAAAGCGUGGGGAGCAAACAGGAUUAGAUACCCUGGUAGUCCACGCCGUAAACGAUGUCUACUUGGAGGUUGUGGCCUUGAGCCGUGGCUUUCGGAGCUAACGCGUUAAGUAGACCGCCUGGGGAGUACGGUCGCAAAGAUUAAAACUCAAAUGAAUUGACGGGGGCCCGCACAAGCGGUGGAGCAUGUGGUUUAAUUCGAUGCAACGCGAAGAACCUUACCUACUCUUGACAUCCAGAGAACUUUCCAGAGAUGGAUUGGUGCCUUCGGGAACUCUGAGACAGGUGCUGCAUGGCUGUCGUCAGCUCGUGUUGUGAAAUGUUGGGUUAAGUCCCGCA
RNAcentral lists this ribosomal RNA (699 nucleotides) under Vibrio alginolyticus. RNAcentral describes it as "bacterial SSU rRNA". It matches the Rfam family "Bacterial small subunit ribosomal RNA", at positions 401 to 1091 of the family's 1533-position model. The record is from RNAcentral. Lineage: Bacteria; Pseudomonadati; Pseudomonadota; Gammaproteobacteria; Vibrionales; Vibrionaceae.